This 506-nucleotide ribosomal RNA is filed under the name uncultured bacterium. RNAcentral's name for it is "partial 16S ribosomal RNA". It matches the Rfam family "Bacterial small subunit ribosomal RNA", at positions 29 to 523 of the family's 1533-position model. The record is from RNAcentral.
AGUGAACGCUGGCGGUAGGCCUAACACAUGCAAGUCGAACGGCAGCACAGGAGAGCUUGCUCUCUGGGUGGCGAGUGGCGGACGGGUGAGGAAUACAUCGGAAUCUACUUUUUCGUGGGGGAUAACGUAGGGAAACUUACGCUAAUACCGCAUACGACCUACGGGUGAAAGCAGGGGAUCUUCGGACCUUGCGCGAUUGAAUGAGCCGAUGUCGGAUUAGCUAGUUGGCGGGGUAAAGGCCCACCAAGGCGACGAUCCGUAGCUGGUCCGAGAGGAUGAUCCGCGACACUGGAACUGAGACACGGUCCAGACUCCUACGGGAGGCAGCGGUGGGGAAUAUUGGACAAUGGGCGCAAGCCUGAUCCAGCCAUACCGCGUGGGUGAAGAAGGCCUUCGGGUUGUAAAGCCCUUUUGCUGGGAAAGAAAUCCAGCUGGCUAAUACCCGGUUGGGAUGACGGUACCCAAGGAAUAAGCACCGGCUAACUUCGUGCCAGCCGCCGCCGUAA